RNAcentral lists this long non-coding RNA (279 nucleotides) under Phascolarctos cinereus (koala). RNAcentral's name for it is "lncRNA (ENSPCIG00000031210.1)". The record is from RNAcentral. Lineage: Eukaryota; Metazoa; Chordata; Mammalia; Diprotodontia; Phascolarctidae.
GAAAUUAAUGUAGCUAUUUCACAAAAUUUUUAACAUAUACUUGCAGAGGACUACUAAAGAACAUAUUCUACUUUUAGGAUGGAAGAGAAGCAAUAGUGUGCAACAUUUCAGCAUGAAGAGCCAAGAAAAAUAUUCCUUAAAAUAGCAAUCACAGAAGGUCCAAAGAACAUUACGAGGAAACAAACAAAACCAAGUGCAGACAAACCAAGGGAUCUGUUGUUGUCGGUACAUGGUUCAAAAGACAUGGACAUCUGGACGUCAAGACCAGGAAAUAGCUGA